UUUGUUUAACUAUGGCAAUAGAAAGUUAUCGGAAGUUAACUGCAUAAAAUAUGUUUAUAAUUAUUGGAGUAUAUGGUUAUUCUCCUUAUAAUUAGCAGUUAGUUUUUUAUUAGAAUAUGUGUUUUUUAAGAAUAUUUCGAUUUAGAAGGGGGUAGGACACAGUGCCAGCACCUGCGGUUAUUCUGUUUUCUUAGCUUUCUUAUAGAUUAUAGUUUGUUUGUUUAUAAUUAAAAUUAGGUGAAAAUUUUUUAUUAUUUUAUUAAACAUUCAUUUUUUGAUAAAUAUUGUUAGUGACAGGGAUUAGAUACCCCAUUAACUUAAUAUUGUAAUAUAUCUUAGUUUUAUAACUAAAAUAGUUUGGCAGCAAGCGAUUCUAUCUAGGGGAAGGUGCGUUGUAAAGGAUGAUCCGCCUAUUAUUUUACUUACUUUAUGUUGGUGUAUAUCUAGUUUGAUAUUAUUGUUUAGUAAUUUAAUUUGUGUAUAUGUUUAUUUAAGCUAAGUCUAUGUGCUGCUUGAGUAAGUUUUCGUGCGUUACACUUAUAGGGUUAUUAGUGAUAUCUUGUAGAAUAGUUAGGACUUAGCAGUAAUGUGAAAUUAGUUUGUUCAUGUGAAAUUAGUUUAGCUUGGGUACACACCGCCCGUCAUCCUCGAUAGUUGUUGAGGCAAGUCGUAACAAGGUAACUUUAAAGGAAUUUGAAGUUAGUUACUAUAAUUAGUAUUA
RNAcentral lists this non-coding RNA (721 nucleotides) under Moniezia expansa (sheep tapeworm). Lineage: Eukaryota; Metazoa; Platyhelminthes; Cestoda; Cyclophyllidea; Anoplocephalidae. The record is from RNAcentral.